UAACUUUGAGUGUUAUCACAAAAAAUUUUGAGUUUUUAAAAAAUAAUUAAAUUUAUUAAAGUUAAUUA
RNAcentral lists this transfer RNA (68 nucleotides) under Rhipicephalus microplus (southern cattle tick). RNAcentral's name for it is "tRNA-Gln". The record is from RNAcentral. Lineage: Eukaryota; Metazoa; Arthropoda; Arachnida; Ixodida; Ixodidae.